GACGAACGCUGGCGGCGUGCUUAACGCAUGCAAGUCGAACGGAAAGGCCCUGCUUUUGUGGGGUGCUCGAGUGGCGAACGGGUGAGUAACACGUGAGUAACCUGCCCUUGACUUUGGGAUAACUUCAGGAAACUGGGGCUAAUACCGGAUAGGAGCUCCUGCUGCAUGGUGGGGGUUGGAAAGUUUCGGCGGUUGGGGAUGGACUCGCGGCUUAUCAUCUUGUUGGUGGGGUAGUGGCUUACCAAGGCUUUGACGGGUAGCCGGCCUGAGAGGGUGACCGGCCACAUUGGGACUGAGGUACGGCCCAGACUCCUACGGGAGGCAGCAGUGGGGAAUAUUGCACAAUGGGCGGAAGCCUGAUGCAGCAACGCCGCGUGCGGGAUGACGGCCUUCGGGUUGUAAACCGCUUUCGCCUGUGACGAAGCGUGAGUGACGGUAAUGGGUAAAGAAGCACCGGCUAACUACGUG
RNAcentral lists this ribosomal RNA (468 nucleotides) under uncultured bacterium. Its description in RNAcentral is "partial 16S ribosomal RNA". It matches the Rfam family "Bacterial small subunit ribosomal RNA", at positions 28 to 507 of the family's 1533-position model. The record is from RNAcentral.